GAGGGAGAAUAACAAAAUAGAAAUUAGUAAAAUCUAGAGAGUAGGGACCUUGGAUAAUGUUAGAAUCACUUUGUCUCAAAUAUAGUUUCAGUAAAAUUUCAGUUGGCUUCUGAGUUUUGUAAUAUGUGAUACCAACUUAAAAAUGUUUCAUAUUCUUUUUGAAACAGAUGAAAUUUUCAUAAUCUUGAUCUUAAUUUAAAUCCUUUAAUUUUCAGGAAAAUUUAUGUAGCCAGAGAGGUUUGGUACCCAACACCGAGGGUCAGACUUUUCAGAUUGCAAUUUCUGGCCAGAUGAGACAGCACUAUGACAGAAUUCAUGAGACACUAACAACGAAAAAUGGCCCUGCUAGACUAUUGAGUUCAUCAGCAAGUACUUUUGAGCAGAGUAUAAAAGCAUAUCAUACUAUGAAUAAAUUUCUUGGCUCUUUCAUCGAUCAUGUUCAUAAGGAAAUGGACUACUUUAUAAAAGAUAAAUUGCUUCUUGAAAGAAUUCUUGGAGUGGAAUUCAUGGAACCAAUGGAAAAAAGCAUCUUUU
Long non-coding RNA from Hipposideros armiger (great roundleaf bat), 534 nucleotides. RefSeq lists it as uncharacterized. The transcript has 3 exons. The record is from RefSeq and is a predicted model, not a curated record. NCBI's taxonomy places the organism in Eukaryota, Metazoa, Chordata, Mammalia, Chiroptera, Hipposideridae.